This 791-nucleotide ribosomal RNA is filed under the name uncultured archaeon. Its description in RNAcentral is "bacterial SSU rRNA". It matches the Rfam family "Archaeal small subunit ribosomal RNA", at positions 85 to 879 of the family's 1478-position model. The record is from RNAcentral.
ACUGCUCAGUAACACGUAGUCAACAUGCCCAGGGGACGUGGAUAACCUCGGGAAACUGAGGAUAAACCGCGAUAAGUCACUACUUCUGGAAUGGGUAAUGACUAAAAUCUACAUGGCCCCUGGAUUGGACUGCGGCCGAUCAGGCUGUUGGUGAGGUAAUGGCCCACCAAGCCUGUAACCGGUACGGGCUCUGAGAGGAGGAGCCCGGAGAUGGGCACUGAGACAAGGGCCCAGGCCCUAUGGGGCGCAGCAGGCGCGAAACCUCUGCAAUAGGCGAAAGCCUGACAGGGUUACUCUGAGUGAUUUCCGUUAAGGAGAUCUUUUGGCACCUCUAAAAAUGGUGCAGAAUAAGGGGUGGGCAAGUCUGGUGUCAGCCGCCGCGGUAAUACCAGCACCCCGAGUGGUCGGGACGUUUAUUGGGCCUAAAGUAUCCGUAGCCGGUUCUACAAGUCUUCCGUUAAAUCCACCUGCUUAACAGAUGGGCUGCGGAAGAUACUAUAGAGCUAGGAGGCGGGAGAGGCAAGCGGUACUCGAUGGGUAGGGGUAAAAUCCGUUGAUCCAUUGAAGACCACCAGUGGCGAAGGCGGCUUGCCAGAACGCGCUCGACGGUGAGGGAUGAAAGCUGGGGGAGCAAACCGGAUUAGAUACCCGGGUAGUCCCAGCUGUAAACGAUGCAGACUCGGUGAUGAGUUGGCUUCUUGCCAACUCAGUGCCGCAGGGAAGCCGUUAAGUUUGCCGCCUGGGGAGUACGGUCGCAAGACUGAAACUUAAAGGAAUUGGCGGGGGAGCAC